This 73-nucleotide transfer RNA is filed under the name Lachnospiraceae bacterium. RNAcentral describes it as "tRNA-Val". It matches the Rfam family "tRNA". Rfam says of the family: Transfer RNA (tRNA) molecules are approximately 80 nucleotides in length. Their secondary structure includes four short double-helical elements and three loops (D, anti-codon, and T loops). Lineage: Bacteria; Bacillati; Bacillota; Clostridia; Lachnospirales; Lachnospiraceae. The record is from RNAcentral.
GGGAUCUUAGCUCAGCUGGGAGAGCAUCUGCCUUACAAGCAGAGGGUCAUAGGUUAGAGCCCUAUAGGUCCCA